GGUUCGGUAGCUCAGUUGGUAGAGCAAUUGCCUUUUAAGCAAUGGGUCGAGAGUUCGAGCCUCUUCCGAGCCA
RNAcentral lists this transfer RNA (73 nucleotides) under Caudoviricetes sp. RNAcentral describes it as "tRNA-Lys". It matches the Rfam family "tRNA". Rfam says of the family: Transfer RNA (tRNA) molecules are approximately 80 nucleotides in length. Their secondary structure includes four short double-helical elements and three loops (D, anti-codon, and T loops). Further hydrogen bonds mediate the characteristic L-shaped molecular structure. tRNAs have two regions of fundamental functional importance: the anti-codon, which is responsible for specific mRNA codon recognition, and the 3' end, to which the tRNAs corresponding amino acid is attached (by aminoacyl-tRNA synthetases). tRNAs cope with the degeneracy of the genetic code in two manners: having more than one tRNA (with a specific anti-codon) for a particular amino acid; and 'wobble' base-pairing, i.e. permitting non-standard base-pairing at the 3rd anti-codon position. The record is from RNAcentral. Lineage: Duplodnaviria; Heunggongvirae; Uroviricota; Caudoviricetes.